RNAcentral lists this ribosomal RNA (500 nucleotides) under uncultured bacterium. Its description in RNAcentral is "bacterial SSU rRNA". It matches the Rfam family "Bacterial small subunit ribosomal RNA", at positions 900 to 1400 of the family's 1533-position model. The record is from RNAcentral.
CUCAAAGGAAUUGACGGGGGCCCGCACAAGCGGCGGAGCAUGUGGCUUAAUUCGACGCAACGCGAAGAACCUUACCAAGACUCGCCAUAAUAUUGAUUAUUGUAUAACAUACAAUUUCUCUUACGAGCAAUAUUACAGGUGGUGCAUGGCUGUCGUCAGCUCGUGUCGUGAGAUGUUGGGUUAAGUCCCGCAACGAGCGCAACCCUUUUCCCAUGUUGCCAGCAGUUCGGCUGGGCACUCUUGGGAUACAGCCGGUGUUAAACUGGAGGAAGGUGGGGACGACGUCAAGUCAUCAUGCCCUUUAUGUCUUGGGCCGCACACGUGCUACAAUGGCUUAUACAAAGAGUCGCGAUACCGUGAGGUGGAGCUAAUCUAAUAAAAUAAGCCUAAGUCCGGAUUGAAGGCUGAAAUUCGCCUUCAUGAAGUCGGAGUCGCUAGUAAUCGUGGAUCAGAACGCCACAGUGAAUACGUUCCCGGGCCUUGUACACACCGCCCGUCAC